RNAcentral lists this RNase P RNA (384 nucleotides) under Paenilisteria rocourtiae. Its description in RNAcentral is "RNase P RNA component class B". It matches the Rfam family "Bacterial RNase P class B". From Rfam's summary of the family: Ribonuclease P (RNase P) is a ubiquitous endoribonuclease, found in archaea, bacteria and eukarya as well as chloroplasts and mitochondria. Its best characterised activity is the generation of mature 5'-ends of tRNAs by cleaving the 5'-leader elements of precursor-tRNAs. Cellular RNase Ps are ribonucleoproteins. Lineage: Bacteria; Bacillati; Bacillota; Bacilli; Caryophanales; Listeriaceae. The record is from RNAcentral.
GCGUUUGGGUAAUUGCUGUUUUCCCUAUGAAAACAGAGGAAAGUCCAUGCUCGCACGGUGCUGAAAUUGCCCGUAGUGAUCGUGCCUGGUCAAACAAUAAGCCAGGGCAUUCCGUUUAGCGGUUUGACGGCAGGUGACGCACCUAAGUCUUCGGAUAUGGUGUUCGAACCUUGAAAGUGCCACAGUGACGAAGUUUCAUCAGAAAUGGUGGAAGUGGAACGAGGUAAACCCCACGAGCGAGAAACCCAAAUAUUGGUAGGGGCACUUUUCCUGAGGAAUAACAACGAGGGACGAGGUACAUAGCUUCACCGUUAUGUGCAGAUAGAUGAUUACCACUUUUGUGUGACCCUGUAAUCACAGAAGUACAGAACAUGGCUUACAAAA